UGUUAAAAAUGACGAGGAAUA
This 21-nucleotide non-coding RNA is filed under the name Caenorhabditis elegans. The record is from RNAcentral. Lineage: Eukaryota; Metazoa; Nematoda; Chromadorea; Rhabditida; Rhabditidae.